This 454-nucleotide ribosomal RNA is filed under the name uncultured bacterium. RNAcentral's name for it is "bacterial SSU rRNA". It matches the Rfam family "Bacterial small subunit ribosomal RNA", at positions 8 to 507 of the family's 1533-position model. The record is from RNAcentral.
AGAGUUUGAUCAUGGCUACAGAACGAACGCUGGCGGCAUGCCUAACACAUGCAAGUCGAACGAGACCUUCGGGUCUAGUGGCGCACGGGUGCGUAACGCGUGGGAAUCUGCCCUUUGCUUCGGAAUAACAGUUAGAAAUGACUGCUAAUACCGGAUGAUGUCUUCAGACCAAAGAUUUAUCGGCAAAGGAUGAGCCCGCGUAGGAUUAGGUAGUUGGUGGGGUAAAGGCCUACCAAGCCGACGAUCCUUAGCUGGUCUGAGAGGAUGAUCAGCCACACUGGGACUGAGACACGGCCCAGACUCCUACGGGAGGCAGCAGUGGGGAAUAUUGGACAAUGGGCGCAAGCCUGAUCCAGCAAUGCCGCGUGAGUGAUGAAGGCCUUCGGGUCGUAAAGCUCUUUUACCAGGGAUGAUAAUGACAGUACCUGGAGAAUAAGCUCCGGCUAACUCCGUG